This 584-nucleotide ribosomal RNA is filed under the name uncultured bacterium. RNAcentral describes it as "bacterial SSU rRNA". It matches the Rfam family "Bacterial small subunit ribosomal RNA", at positions 161 to 743 of the family's 1533-position model. The record is from RNAcentral.
GAUUAAUACCUCAUAGUAUUAUAGAGUGGCAUCACUUUAUAAUUAAAGAUUUAUCGGUGAAAGAUGAGCAUGCGUCCCAUUAGUUAGUUGGUAAGGUAACGGCUUACCAAGACUACGAUGGGUAGGGGUCCUGAGAGGGAGAUCCCCCACACUGGUACUGAGACACGGACCAGACUCCUACGGGAGGCAGCAGUGAGGAAUAUUGGACAAUGGGCGCAAGCCUGAUCCAGCCAUGCCGCGUGCAGGAUGACGGUCCUAUGGAUUGUAAACUGCUUUUAUACAGGAAGAAACACCUCUACGUGUAGAGACUUGACGGUACUGUAAGAAUAAGGAUCGGCUAACUCCGUGCCAGCAGCCGCGGUAAUACGGAGGAUCCAAGCGUUAUCCGGAAUCAUUGGGUUUAAAGGGUCCGUAGGCGGUUUAGUAAGUCAGUGGUGAAAGCCCAUCGCUCAACGGUGGAACGGCCAUUGAUACUGCUAGACUUGAAUUAUUAGGAAGUAACUAGAAUAUGUAGUGUAGCGGUGAAAUGCUUAGAGAUUACAUGGAAUACCAAUUGCGAAGGCAGGUUACUACUAAUUGAUUGA